RNAcentral lists this long non-coding RNA (1112 nucleotides) under Chrysemys picta bellii (western painted turtle). RNAcentral describes it as "lncRNA (ENSCPBG00000007917.1)". The record is from RNAcentral. Lineage: Eukaryota; Metazoa; Chordata; Testudines; Emydidae.
CAGUCCCGAUAUUUGGGGCUCUCUUUUAUAUGGGCUCCUAUUACCCAGGGCCGGCUUUAGGACCUGCGGGGCCCGAUUCCACGGUCCGGGUCUUCGGCGGCACCUCGGCGGUGGGGGGUUCCACUCCGUGUCUUCUGCGGCACUGAAGAACCCCCCCGCCGCCAAAAUGCCGCCGGAGCGGACGGCCGCCAGGUGAGCCUAAGGCGCGGGGCCCUCUUAGGUGCGGGUGCGGGGCCCGAUUCCGGGGAACUGGCCUAAAGCCGGCCCUGCUUAUCACUCCCCCAUCCCCUGUCCUGAUUUUUCACACUUGCUGUCUGGUCACCCGAGUCAAGACACAGGUUUCUAUUACCAGAUCUGACACCCGGGGCAAGGCACUUCCUCCGCGCCUCAGUUUCCCCAUCUCUAGGGCAGGGAGAACACGACUCACCUCUGCAAAGCGCUUUGCGGUCUCUGGAGAAAAGCACGACGAUCGGGGGGGGUUUCUUACCUAAGGUGCUGCAGGCAGGGAUCUUCUAUUGGCCGGGAGCUGGCCGGAACAAUCCCCCCCCCCCUUGGCCCGGUUUUCAAGGCACCUUUAUCUCCUGGAGUGCCGAUCCAGUGGGAUCAACAUGCCAAUGCGGCGUGGGAGAAAGGAGCAGGCGCUGGCAUGUAAACGCUUCCCCACUGCAUCUCCAGCGGCUGGGGCCCGGGGCGCACACGCCACUUUCCCCUUCAGCAGCUCCAGGGCGCUGCCAACCCCAUUGCGGCUCCCACACCGAGCCCCCAAGCCGUCCAGGGGGCUGGUCCAGUUUAAACCCGGGGGGCUGCCGCGGGCAGGGCGAAGGGGCGCAGCCGGCAGCUCCUAGGCGAUCACCCGGGGCUGGGCGGGAUUUACUUGGGUCCUUCUUUGGGUACGAAGGGGCAGCUGCUCCUGUAGCCCCCCCAUGCAGUCCGGGGGCCUUUGCUGAGCUAGCUCGCCCCUUGGCUAGGUCCCGGGGGGCCACCAGCCGGGGCUCCCCUCUGGCCCCACCGCGCCUCCCAUACCGCCUGGCCCGGCCCUCGGAGCGACUGAACCGGCUUGUGUACGAGGAAGAUUUCCAGGCUCGGCAAGGUGGGGCGCCACCUCCCUCUUA